AACCUCCAACUUCCUGGUGGGAGACGCCUCUGGCCUCCGACCCUGUCUCCGUCUCCGCCCCUCCAGCCGAGUGCACAGAGGCGGGCGUUAACUCCUCAUCGGUCACCCAGGCCCCACCCUACCCGCAGUCCCCGGGAGCCGCGCAUCCCCGCCGGCCGGGGGGAGGUGAAAUGAACGGGACCCUUGUGAUUCCACUGAAUGGGAUGACCCAGGAUGAUGUCCCAUUGAAAGUCUGCUGAGGAGCAGUUGCAUCUACAACCUUAACGCCCCUUGGCCAUGUAAGGAUUUACAGGCUCAGCGUUGACUCCAGAUUCAGCCCUUGCCAUCUUGCUCCCCACCUUGAGAGCAGCAGCACCAAAAAUAGCAGCAUGAGUCACUGAAGCAUCGGGCAUUGUCAUCAAGGGCCAGGACGCUUGCUGUGGUGGAGCUUCUGCUUGAGUUCCAGGGACCUGGGGAAGGGGACCCUGGCCAGCUGGCCCCCAUCACUGCCUCCUGUACCCCAGGGGGAGACCUGAGUUCACCGAGAAAUUUGAAGCCUGAAUUGGUGGAAAUGUUAAUGUUCUGAAGUGGCUUUACCAUGACACUGCAUAAGGACCUCAGGGUCCCUCAUUUGCA
Dama dama (fallow deer) is the source of this 615-nucleotide long non-coding RNA. RefSeq lists it as uncharacterized. The transcript is spliced from 3 exons. Lineage: Eukaryota; Metazoa; Chordata; Mammalia; Artiodactyla; Cervidae. The record is from RefSeq and is a predicted model, not a curated record.